CUGAGGCAAAACUAACAGGCAGCAGCGACUGCCCGCUCAUAGCUGCCAGAGAUACUAUCCUGCAGGUUUUUUUCAGAGGUAAGAACAGGAAAGACGAGAGAACACGAGAAAACCAGCAAUUAAACGGCAAGCAAAGGAAUAACCACCAGUAAGUAAGGAAAACCAGCAGAAGGAAAGAGUGGUCAGAAGCUGGUGGAGGACAAGGUCCUGGGGCAGUUUCUAGGCUAAGCAGAGUCGUGUGAAACGCUGGGCAGGAGACACGGGCGGGAAGGCAUCCACGGCUCAUUCAACCUGGCACUUCGGCAGCAUUAUUCCAGUUGGAGAUAUAAAGCAGAGAACCAUCAUUCUCAAAACUGUUCU
This 360-nucleotide long non-coding RNA is filed under the name Homo sapiens (human). Its description in RNAcentral is "HSALNT0139720". The record is from RNAcentral. Lineage: Eukaryota; Metazoa; Chordata; Mammalia; Primates; Hominidae.